RNAcentral lists this ribosomal RNA (440 nucleotides) under uncultured bacterium. RNAcentral describes it as "bacterial SSU rRNA". It matches the Rfam family "Bacterial small subunit ribosomal RNA", at positions 958 to 1398 of the family's 1533-position model. The record is from RNAcentral.
AACGCGAAGAACCUUACCUACCCUUGACAUCCUGCGAAUCUGACUGAGAGGUUAGAGUGCCGAAAGGAACGCAGAGACAGGUGCUGCAUGGCUGUCGUCAGCUCGUGUUGUGAGAUGUUGGGUUAAGUCCCGUAACGAGCGCAACCCUUGUCCUUAGUUGCCAGCAUUUAGUUGGGGACUCUAAGGAGACUGCCGGUGAGGAACCGGAGGAAGGCGGGGACGACGUCAAGUCAUCAUGGCCUUUAUGGGUAGGGCUACACACGUGCUACAAUGGGGCGUACAGAGGGUAGCCAACCUGCGAAGGGGAGCCAAUCUCUUAAAGCGCCUCGUAGUCCGGAUUGGAGUCUGCAACUCGACUCCAUGAAGUUGGAAUCGCUAGUAAUCGCGAAUCAGCAACGUCGCGGUGAAUACGUUCCCGGGCCUUGUACACACCGACGCAC